GACGAACGCUGGCGGCGUGCCUAAUACAUGCAAGUCGAACGCAGUGGGGACGGGUGCGUAACACGUGGGUAACCUCCCAUCAUCGGGGAUAACACUUGGAAACAGGUGCUAAACCGAUACUGAUGUAUGGACCCGCGGUGAAUUAGCUAGUUGGUGAGGUACCGGCUCACCAAGGCCACGAUGCAUAGCCGACCUGAGAGGGUGAUAGGCCAAAGUGGGACUGAGACACGGCCCAGACUCCUACGUGAGGCAGAAGUAGGGAAUCUGCGGCAAUGGACGAAAGUCUGACCGAGCAACGCCGCGUGAGUGAAGAAGGUUUUCGGAUCGUAAAACUCUGUGGUUAGAGAAGCGGUAUCUAACCAGAAAGCCACGGCUAACUACGUGCGAGCAGCCGCGGUAAUAC
RNAcentral lists this ribosomal RNA (403 nucleotides) under uncultured bacterium. RNAcentral describes it as "partial 16S ribosomal RNA". It matches the Rfam family "Bacterial small subunit ribosomal RNA", at positions 28 to 526 of the family's 1533-position model. The record is from RNAcentral.